Molecule: non-coding RNA, 776 nt
Filed under: Ephemerella sp. Yunnan-2018
Lineage: Eukaryota; Metazoa; Arthropoda; Insecta; Ephemeroptera; Ephemerellidae
Description: 12S ribosomal RNA
Rfam family: Microsporidia small subunit ribosomal RNA (bases 376-771)
Source: RNAcentral
UCCUGCGCAGAAACUACGAGAAUAAAGUUUUAUUUUGGUAAAUGUGCUUUCUAUAAAAUUGUUUUACAUGUAAAAUAUGAAGUUCCUAAAGGGGUGGGAUAAUAAGCGCAGUAUUUGAUUUUAAAAAUUAGGGAAACUUAGAGUUGGCGAAUUUAAAUAGUUUUGGCCAAAUUUGUGCCAGCGACCGCGGUUACACAAAUAAUACGAGAGAGCAUUUUUGGAUAAAGUUAGUCAGGGUAAAGCACGAAAGGGGUAUAUUUUUAGGUGAAAUUUUUAAUUGGUGGAAAGGGCAAAAAAUAAUAAGGUGAAACUUGGAGACCCAGAAAGAAAACUAGGAUUAGAGACCCUACUAUGCUGGGUAUUAUAGGAGGUCCUGAGUAGUAAAAGGUAUGGUCUUAAAACUCAAAAAAUUUGGCGGUGGUUUAGCUGGUCAGAGGAAUUUGCCCUAUAAUCGAUAACCCCCGAGGAUUCUACUUAGAUUUGUGGUCAACUUGUAUACCGCCGUCAUCAGGAAAUUUUGGGAAAGUAUUUUCAGAAUCUUAUGAGAGAGUAUGUCAGGUCAAGGUGCAGUUAAUGUUUAAGGAGAGGUGAAUUACAAUAAAAGAAUUUAACACGGAAAGUUUUGUGUAAAAGGCUAGAAGGUGGAUUUGGAAGUAAUACUGUCGACCAUGAGGGUAUAAUAUCAGCUCUAAAUCGUGCACACAUCGCCCGUCGCUCUCGUAUUCAAUGAGAUAAGUCGUAACAUAGUAGGUGUACCGGAAGGUGCCCCUAGAAUG